This is an RNA transcript of Brassica napus (rape), 1724 nucleotides long. It is a transcript of the gene named methylthioalkylmalate synthase 2, chloroplastic-like, with no coding region annotated. The record is from RefSeq and is a predicted model, not a curated record. The transcript has 10 exons. NCBI's taxonomy places the organism in Eukaryota, Viridiplantae, Streptophyta, Magnoliopsida, Brassicales, Brassicaceae.
AUGUUCUCCAUCUCAUUGCAAUACAAUUUCCUCAUAAUCUAUCCUCAAAUCAAAUUCGAAAGAUAUCUGUUCUUCUCUUCUACGUACUCUAUCGUUAUGGCUUCGUCACUUCUGACAUCUCCCACAAUGAUCCCCACCACCGGUUCCACUGUGGUGGUCCGAUCAGGCUUACCUUUUAGAUCUUCCUUGCCCUCCCUACGCCUGAAUCGUCCGUACAACAAGUCAUCCUUGUCUAUCUCAUGUUGCUCCCCUGUGUCUAAAAUGGGGGGUACUAGUGCGGGUGACCUCAAACCCGUCUUGGAAAGGUGGCCAGAGUACAUACCGCACAAGCUUCCCGACAAGAAUUACGUGCGUGUAUUCGACACGACGCUCCGUGACGGCGAACAAGCUCCAGGUGGAGCUCUUACUCCACCGCAGAAGCUUGAGAUUGCUAGACAGCUCGCAAAACUCCGAGUAGACAUCAUGGAAGUUGGUUUUCCGGUGUCCUCUGAGGAAGAGUUCGAAACAGUCAAAACCAUCGCCAAGACCGUGGGAAAUGAGGUGGAUGAAGCAACAGGUUACGUCCCAGUGAUAUGCGCCAUCGCACGUAGCAAACCAGAAGACAUUGAGGCGGCCUGGGAGGCGGUGAAAUACGCGAAAAGACCUAAGAUACUAAUAUUCACAUCUACUAGUGACAUUCACAUGAAAUACAAGUUGAAAAAGACUAAAGAAGAAGUCAUCGAAAUGGCCGCGAGUAGUGUUAAGUUUGCUAAAAGCUUAGGCUUCGUUGACGUCCAACUUGGCUGCGAAGAUGGCGGCAGGUCGGAGAAGGAGUUUCUCUGCAAGAUUCUAGGAGAAUCGAUAAAAGCUGGUGCAACCACGGUGAACGUCGCGGACACUGUAGGAAUCAACAUGCCGGAAGAAUACGGAGAACUCGUGAGCUACCUCAAAGCAAACACUCCUGGCAUUGAUGAUGUUAUUUUCAGUGUUCAUUGUCACAACGACCUUGGUGUUGCCACCGCCAACACAAUUGCCGGUGUAUGUGCGGGAGCACGACAAGUCGAAGUAACAGUUAACGGAAUAGGCGAAAGAAGUGGGAAUGCACCGCUUGAAGAGGUAACAUGUCGUGAUGGCUUUGAAAUGCCGAGGAGAAUAUCUGAUGGAUGGUGUCUACACAAGAAUAGACACACGCCAAAUUAUGGCUACCAGCCAGAUGGUUCAAGAAUAUACCGGCUUGUUUGUUCAACCACAUAAGCCCAUAGUUGGAGCCAACUGUUUUGUUCAUGAGAGCGGCAUUCACCAGGAUGGAAUCUUGAAAAAUCGGAGUACAUAUGAGAUCUUAUCGCCAGAAGAUGUUGGGGUUGUAAAAUCUCAAGGUUCGAGCAUUGUUAUUGGAAAGCUUAGCGGACGUCAUGCUGUGAAAGAUCGGCUGAAAGAGUUGGGAUAUGAGCUCGAUGAUGAGAAAAUAUUGAACGAUAUCUUCUCAAUGUUCAGGGACUUAACCAAGCAGAAAAAGAGAAUCACGGAUGAUGAUCUGAAGGCGUUAGUAACGUGUCGUGAUGAGGUCACGUCUCUAAACGGCGCUACCGGUGAAGAGACUAACGGCUAUGUACCAAUCUCACAGAUUUCCUCUGUGGUAUCAAAUCUGUGAAAACGUUUUGUGUCUGUGUACCACUUGUAAUAUCAAGAUUCCAUUGAUAUGAAUGGGUUGUUUUAAAGAAUAAAAACAGUGUGAAGUUGAAAAA